AGCAUUAAUCUUAUGGGAAAUAUCAGCCAUGUUGAGUUUCUUAUCCACCAUCAUUUCUCUGUUUAACUCUAUGCGAAGCAACCACGGAGAGAUCUUGUCGGGGUCAACAUCAUCAUCUGGCAUCUCAAAGUAGGACGUCACAAAUUCAACAUCUUCCUCAAUAAUAGUGCUCUUAGGAUCUGGAUCGUACCAUACCUCUGUUGCUUGUGUUACACUCCGCAAGGUUGUAUACUCCAGAGCGCACUGGACAUUUUUGGCCUUCUCCUUAGUUUUGCUUACACCAGGCUUCAAGUAUACCGAGAGNAGGUAAUCUGUUUCUGCAUACACAGCAGCAUCAAGAAGAAUGUCCACUGUUCUCAAAGGAGCAUCUCAUCAUGGGGCCAGUAUCGUUGCGAUUGAUACCAUGACGGGUGAUGGCCAUCAAGUGACCACGAUAUGUCAUGGUAUCACACAAUAUAGCCAAAAUGUCUAUAGUUCACGUAAGACCCAUCAAAUGAUAUGACAACACGCAACUCAUCCAGCAAGGCUUUGCGAACUGCCUCAAUGCCAAGAACUUCAAUAACUUCAAUCAAAUGAUUGCUUGUUGUCCUACUUGCAUCUACAUCUUCAUGGCAAAUUACAGCUAAAAGAUUAACACCUUCGGUGUCAAGCAUCCACUCAUUCUCAGCCUUGAAGCCUUCAUUUUCAUCAAACUUAUUUACCUUGCCAUUCUUUAUGAACACCUUAUUGAUAUCUGGUAUGCCUCGAAGAGCCAUUUCUGUAAGCAUGUUACCCUCUAAUCUUUUUGUAGGAAGACAUCAUCCUCAGCAGAUUCAUCAUUCAACUCACCUUUAGGGGCUUCAUCAUUCAUAAUACGAAUACGAAGGAUAAGCUUUUCAGCAUUAUCAUCAUUAAAUAUGCACGUUAGAUCACUAUCAAAUUCAGCAUUAAUCUUAUGGGAAAUAUCAGCCAUGUUGAGUUUCUUAUCCACCAUCAUUUCUCUGUUUAACUCUAUGCGAAGCAACCACGGAGAGAUCUUGUCGGGGUCAACAUCAUCAUCUGGCAUCUCAAAGUAGGACGUCACAAAUUCAACAUCUUCCUCAAUAAUAGUGCUCUUAGGAUCUGGAUCGUACCAUACCUCUGUUGCUUGUGUUACACUCCGCAAGGUUGUAUACUCCAGAGCGCACUGGACAUUUUUGGCCUUCUCCUUAGUUUUGCUUACACCAGGCUUCAAGUAUACCGAGAGAGAGGGUGUUUUAAUUUUCUUAGCAACAUUAAUAAUCUCCCUCAACCUUGGAACACCUAAAGUUAACAAUUCUUGGCACUCACACCAGCAUAGUGAAAUGUAUUGAGGGUCAUCUGUGUAGCAGGUUCACCAAUGGAUUGUGCAGCAACACAUCCUAUCAUUUCACCAGCAGCAACAAGUGACUGAAGAAAACGGGAUUCUAUCUCGCCAACUACCCAGUCAAAAGCCUCACGGGUAAGUCUGUACUCCUUCAGGACCCUUUUACUUGCUAAAGCACUACGAAGCAAUAUAUUGAAGAAAAGAGUAGCAUUCUUCUGUGCUUCCAAACUCAGAUAAUCAUCACCAACAACCACCUUAAGCCUUUCUUGUAACUUAUCAACAGCUUCUACAAUCUCCAUUGGAUGCAUAUCAGACGGUCUCCGAAAAUCAACUCUAAAGGUCUUCUGUGCAUUCAAAACAAGCCUCUUGAUGUUGACAGGGAGGGGCCAAGAAUUGUCACCCGUGGUGGCAAUCUCUGUUCCAAGUUGAUACCUAUCGGCUUCAAGUUUCUGAACCUCUGCAUCAAACACACUGCGGAUUUCACGAAUCGUUUUCAGAUCUUCCACAGCUUCAGGUAACAUAUAAUUAGGAUUCCAGUUUGGGUGAUCAAUCUCAUAUUUGUACAUGUCAUUGAAAUCCGAUCUCUUCAACUUCAGUGAUUCCAAAGGCUGUGAUUCAAUCCAAACUGCAUCCAUACCAUCUUCCCCGUACAGAAACUGAAUCACAUCACCUAACGAAUUCCUAACAGUCCCAUCAUACUUAACCAUGAUAUCUUCCAUAGCCUUCACCAAUCGCCUCUGAAUAUAUCCAGUCUCAGAAGUUUUCACUGCAGUGUCAAUAAGACCUUCCCUACCACCCAUGGCAUGGAAAAAGAACUCUUGAGGAGACAAUCCUCGAAGAUAUGAGUUCUCCACAAAACCACGACUCUCUGGACCAUAAUCAUCUUUGGUGAAGUGUGGAAGUGUGCGAUCCACAAAACCAAAAGGAAUUCGCUUGCCUUCAACAUUCUGCUGACCCACACAUGCAGUCAUCUGAGAAAUAUUGAUGAAACUUCCCUUAGACCCUGCAGUGACCAUAGCUUUGAGGUUGUUACUUUCUGCCAAGCUCUUCUGAGCACUGCUUCCAGCAUCAUCACGAGCCUUAUUCAACACCUGAAGGCACAAAACAUAUAUAAGGGAAUCACCAGGCUGCAGCAAGGAAAUCAAAAUUUUUAACAAACCUGGUUAACUCUGUUCUCGAACGAUUCCAUCAUUGUUCUUCCUGGCUCAGCUUCCAAUUGCUUUUCUUGUGCAGCCCUGAUAAGUUCAUUCACCUCAUUCUUAGCUUUGUUAAUAGUUUCAGAGAUCUUCGUCAUUGUAUCAUGAUCAGCAAUUGUAUCUCCAAUUCCCAUGCUAAAAGCGUUCUGCAAAAGCCAAUAAUUGACCAGCCAUUGUGUAUGUCCCAAAAAUUUCCGAGCUGCAUCUGGACCGACUUCUUCCCUGAGACCAGUAUACAUUAUAUUAAACACAUAAAUAUGAAUAAAGAAUCUUUCGGGCUUUCAGUUCAUUAUUAUAAUAUUUAUUACUCCUUGUUUCAUGUGCCAUAUCAUAUGUUUUGAUGUCACAAAUGCUAUAAUAUUCACACAGAAGAGCUACUAGAGUGGAGGAAGACUGAUAUAUGCAAAAGCUAAAUUGUUAAAGAGUACAGAAAUUUUCAAUAAGAUACUCAUGUAGUUUUAAACUUCUGAAGAAAAUUAAUCUUCUCUUCUACAAAUUCCGAUGGAGUAAGCAAAGGAACACUUUCUUGAAAUGGCAUUAGUUUUAUUGAUAUCUAUAAUGAGUGCAAGCAUGGAGAUUGAUAAAGUGUUUUGUCUGCAAAGAAACAGUACCCAUUUUUUUGUGCCAAAAGGAGAAUCUUUUUGCUAGUGAAAAGAGAGGGUAUUUCAUUGGUAACUCAAGCAAGUUCUUUUGAAAGUAUUACUUCUUCAAUCAACAUAUUGCGAGUUCUGACUCAUUUGCGAGAUCCUAGAAUAUAUAAAUAAAAGACACCAACUUCAUUUAAAGUAUUUGCAUACAUAUGCUCCCAAUCCCCAUUGCCCAUAGAGCAAUGGACCAAUUUAAUACAACAUGAAUUCUUCAGAAGAUAAAAGUGAAAGUCAUGCUUUUGCUCUUAAAUUUAAGGUUGAACGAAAAAUGUGACCCGCAAACAGCCCCAUACCUCCAUUUUACCCAACUUUCCACUUAUUACAUUUUGCUACUAGAUACUUCAGGUAUGUUACCCGCAAUCAGCCCCAAUUCAUAAUAUGGAUAAGUUGGGUGGGCGUUUAGGAGACAAUAGUUUCCUUUCAAAACCCACCAAAUGCAGAAAUGGUACUGCAAAAAUUCCAGAAAGAACGUACCAAAUAACAUGUAUGAGACUUCCACUAGAUGACCCGAGUGUUUUCUUGCAUAGGGUGCCUGAAAGUAACUCCCCUUUUUCUAUCCGUACUUGAGUAUCCCCAGGAGUAAUAAAUCCUUUUUCAGUUUCUUGAUGCCAUGAAGAAUACCUUAAUAGAUUUAUCUGUCUUGGAAUGAUUAAAUUAAAUACUUGUUUCCCAGUCCAAAGAGGCUUAGGUUUCAGAAUUGUUGGAGCAGGUACUUUGCCAUCAAAAUCCUCCCACCACAUAAGGAUGUUCAUAAAAACAUCCUGCGAACAAUACAGACAGCGAUAUCAGAUUGAAUGUGGACACUUACCUAAAAAUUACAUAAUGAUGACAGAAAAUCAAAUGUUACCUUGUCAAUAAAAGUAUCUCUCUUAGUGAUUUUGCGACAUCCUAGUAGUGUAUCCUGCACAAUACCCAUUACAGGUCGAUUUGAUUGAGGUGACACGAUGCAUUUUGGAACCAUCAUUAAUUCCAGAACUUCGGCUCUAGUUUCAAAUGACUGGGGCACGUGCAUAUUCAUUUCAUCUCCAUCAAAAUCAGCAUUGUAGGGUGAGGUAACAGACAGAUUUAAGCGGAAUGUUGAAUAUGGCAUAAUCUUGAUUCUGUGGCCCAUAAUGGACAUCUUAUGGAGACUCGGUUGCCGAUUGAACAGGACAAAGUCUCCAUCAUUUAAAUGUCUCUCAACCUGUACCAUCAAAUAAUAGGAAUCAGGUGUCAAAAGGAAUCCAAUGCUUGAUCAUUCUCAAUUAUAUAGCUGGGAGUCUCACCUUAUAUCCAAGUUCUAGAUGCUGAUCACUACUCUUUUUCAAGUACCGGAGAUCAAGCCUCUGUCCAUCAUCCCUAAUAAUAUAUUUUGCGCCAGUUUUACCAGGAGGGGGAUGAGGUCCAUAUUCCACAAGCUCUUUCAAUCUAUUUUCAAGGUCAAUAUCUGGUUAACAAGAAUAACCAAAAAGUAUAGAGGGAUCACUAUCAAGAAAUAUGGUAAGAGUGCCUAACCUUUCGAUGUUAUAUGGAGUUACAGUUUCAGGAUAUGUAAGAUUUAAGGCAAUACUCCAAGGCACACCCAGCUGGUCGAUGUUGAUUGUUGGGUCAGGUGUAAUCACAGUCCGAGCCGAAAAAUCUACUCGCUUACCCAUCAAGUUACCUCUGAUCCUACCAUCUUUUGCCUUAAGCCUGCUACAUAUUGAUUUAAUGGGUCUGCCAGAUCUUUGGGUAGCCUGAUGUAUACAAGGAUACUUCACUUGUUAGAUAAAUGAUGUUCCAGGAACUGCAUCCACAGUCUCAAUAUACUGAAAUAAUAUAACAUACUCUUGGUUGACCAGGUAAAUCGUUAUCAAAGUAUGUAGCCACAUGGAACUGCAGCAACUGUGCAAACUCAGAGAUGAUGUGUGCAGGAGCCCCAUUCCGCUCCUGCCUCUUUAAGUUCUCAUUAUGCCUAAUGAUCAUGGCCAGUUGAUGAGUUAAAUCAUCCUGCAUAAAUUGAUUCAAUUAUUAGAUUCUCCUGCAACUUAAAAGCAGCAAUCCGAGGAACAUGCAAUUGAUUGACUUGAUCAGUUUGCAGUGAACAGAACCCGAUACACUUAUCUGACCUAAAGGAACAAUUAGGGGUAAUCUAAACACCCAUGACAUUGUAGAGAUCAAAAGGAGAAGUCAUGCCUCACUCCGAGAAGAAGUAUCCAUCAUUACAGAAGGCCUAACUGGAGGAGGAGGGAUUGGAAGAACUUGAAGAAUCAUCCAGUCAGGGCGAGCAUAUUUUGGAUUCAAGCCCAACAACUGACAAUCUUCAUCAGUAAUUCUCUUCAGUAUGCUGAGCACCUGAAACAAAAAGGAAAUAGAGAUUGUUGGGAUUAGCGCAUAAAUCAAUCUAUCACAUUAUCCAGGCUGGAAAAAAAAGUUUGAAUCCCUAUUCUCUGGCAAUUUAUGAUAUAUGAUACCUUCUCUGCAGAGAGAAGUUGUUUUCGUUCAACAGGUUCAGGCAUCUGGUCCUGGUCAUCACUUUUCUUCUUCUGAAUCUUGUAUUCAGCAACCAUUUUCAUCCCAUCUAUAGAAAUCUUUGGCUGCUGAGCACCGCAUCCACCCCUAGACUUCUUCACAGGUUCUUCCGAAUCUUGACCUCGCACAUCGAUCUCAUCACCUCCUUCACAUUUGGAUUUGUUUUUGCAGGCAUCUAAUAUCUUCUUUAAUCUAUUCUUAGGGUUUCUAAUUCUCAUUGCUUGCUUGAACUUGGGAUCGUCCUAGAAAAAUUAACAAGGGAUCAAAAUACAUUGCAAAAGAAAACGAUUGUUCCAACUUCCAAGUAACUUUAUUUCCAUUUGAAGUAUAAUAUUCAGGCAAUAAUGAAAAUAACUAACUUUUACAACAGCAACACUCCUAGGAGAUGCAUCCAGAUGAUGAAAUACCUCAAACUGCUUCUAUCUUACCAAUAUGCAUUUCUAUAAAAGUAACACAAUUAUUGAAGACAUAACAGAACCUAGAAGCCUAAAACUGGAUCGUUGCUAGUCAUAAGUCUUACUAUCCAGUCACUCUUGCAAGUAAUAAGAAUGUUACAAUUAAAUCAGUUGCCCAGUUCAGGAUGGUCAUGAAUAAGACAGAAGUCUGACCCUCCUAGUAUACGAACAUAUACAUGAAAUAAGCAUUUUCCGUGAAUCCAGCAUAUGUUAUACACUUCUGAAAAAUUCAGUCUGCUACUCAGGCCUCACAACAGCGGAAUCAAUAGUCAUACCCAAUAUGAACCAAGUGAGCAUGACUGUACAAAUUCAUACUACUUAAACCGAAAACGUCCAUAACUUCAAUCUAACUACUCGGGAAAUGUACAAUACCUCAUCCGCUAAAAUCUUAGAGCAAUUGAAGCAGACACUGCGGAGAAUACUGAGCACAGUCUUCAUGAAGCCAAUGUGAAACAUAGGUUUGGCGAGCUCAAGGUGACCGAAGUGACCGGGGCAGUCAGCCAUGUUCGCCAUACAAGUCUCGCACUUCAUCUUCCGAUCAAUCGUCCCCAGACGCGGGUCGCUCAAACCACCGAUCUUCGGCUUGCCUCUUUCCGUCGUCUCGCUGUGCUCUAUAUGCACAACAGACAUUUGUCUCUACAAAACACACCAUAAAACAAUAGACCAUCAUUUCCAACUCAAUCACACACUCAAUGCCGAAACUGAAAGUUCAAAACAUUCAAAGAAGUGAGAAUUACGAUCUCAUCGGGGCUGAGAAUGCCGAAUUGGACGACGCGGACUUUCGCGACCUCUGCCGGCGAGAAGGGGAACCGCAGAUCCAUUGCGACACCGGAGAUUCUACCCUAGGGUUUUCGAUUAUGAUUUAUUAUGCUAGCUGAUAUAUAAUAAUUCCAAAAUUAGAAACAAAUAUGGUUUUCAAGUACUUCAAAUUAUUCGCGGUUUCUGUUAAGUAACUGAUUUUUGGGGUUUUUGAAGAAAACUUUUUUCACGCUGCGCUCUUCUCUGAAGGAGGAGAGGCGGCUUUGAGACCAAAGAAGAGAAUGAGGGGUUGAAGGGGUAUUUAAAGAGAUGGAUGGCUUCGAAGUCGGCGCUUAAUGGGGUUGUUUGGCUACACAGUUAUGAGCUGGACAUCUUCCUCUCGUUUGGUCCAUCUAUUAAAAAAUCUUCUUAAUCUAUUUUUAAACAUAAUUUCAUCAACUAUUAUCCUUAUAAUUUUCAUUUUUUGUAAGACUCAUUUUUCACUUAUCAAGUAUACAAUUAAUUUUUAUUAAAAUUCAUGUCACCCUCCUUUAUAAAGAUCUUUGAGAAAUGAAGGGAGUGUUAAUUCCAAAUAUUUGGUAAAAUAAGUACAUAAAUACUCAUUUCGUCCCAACUUUUAGUAUCAAUUUAAGAAUGACACGUGUUUUAAUAAAGUUGUUAAGUGUGUUGUGAGUGGAAUAAGGGUCUCGCAUUUUACGUGAAUGUUAAAAUAAUUAAAGUGGAGUAAGGGUCUCACCUACUUUUACUAAAAAUAAAAAUGAAUAUCAAAAUAUGGAACGGCCAAAAAAGGAAAUAUGAAUACUAAAAGUUGGGACGAAGAUAGUAGUUUACAAGCUCUACAAAUAAGUUUCUACAAUUUAUAAGCUUUUCAAACUACAAACUUUUUACCAUAAAUUACUUUUUCAUAAUUUUAUACUUCCUUCAUCCCAAUUCNCUUAUAAUUUUUCAUUUUUUUGUAAGACUCAUUUUUUCACUUAUCAAGUAUACAAUUAAUUUUUAUUAAAAUUCAUGUCACCCUCCUUUAUAAAGAUCUUUGAGAAAUGAAGGGAGUGUUAAUUCCAAAUAUUUGGUAAAAUAAGUACAUAAAUACUCAUUUCGUCCCAACUUUUAGUAUCAAUUUAAGAAUGACACGUGUUUUAAUAAAGUUGUUAAGUGUGUUGUGAGUGGAAUAAGGGUCUCGCAUUUUACGUGAAUGUUAAAAUAAUUAAAGUGGAGUAAGGGUCUCACCUACUUUUACUAAAAAUAAAAAUGAAUAUCAAAAUAUGGAACGGCCAAAAAAGGAAAUAUGAAUACUAAAAGUUGGGACGAAGAUAGUAGUUUACAAGCUCUACAAAUAAGUUUCUACAAUUUAUAAGCUUUUCAAACUACAAACUUUUUACCAUAAAUUACUUUUUCAUAAUUUUAUACUUCCUUCAUCCCAAUUCAAUAGGCCACAAGACAAGGCUUGGACAUGGAUAUUAAGAAGCGAAUAGUUUAUAAUAAAAUACGAGAGAGAAAGUAGCUUUUUUUAGAGUAAAUUUGUGAAAAAAGUAGGAGAGAGUAGAGAUAAUUUUGUGGGAUCACAAUGAUAUUUGAUGUACAUAAUGAGUUGUGCGAAGGUGUUUGUUAUAUACUAUGAUUUUUUAUUUUAGGAAGUGACCUAUUGAAUUGGAACGUCCAAAUAAGGAUUCAUGACAUAUUUAAAUGGAACUGAGGGAGUAAUAUAUUUUACAAAAAUUAUUCAAUUAUACUUUAUUACUAUUUUCAUCAUAUACACUUUAAACCACUUUGCAAAAAUUAACUCAAUCAUAUAAAUACUUUCACAACUUAUAAGCUCUUACAAAAAUACAUUUUUAAAAUUUUUGAAACAUUUUAUAAAUUGCUACAAUUAUAAAUUUCUUAAAAUAAGCUUAUCCAAACAUCCCCUUAAUUCUACAACAAAAUUUUAACAAAUGGAGUAUAAAUGAGCUAUGAUUGGUAACAUAUUUUUCCUACAAAAAUAAUAAGCGAUAGGUAACAUAACUAGCGUGGGAACUAAGAAUCAAUCUGGUCUAUUAAUUUGAUUAAAUGAUCAUGAUUGAUUUCCAUAUUGAACAAUACAUAUAUAUGAUAAUGCAUCAGUUUAUGCCAGAAAUUAUGCCAUGCUGAUAAAUAAUACUCCAUUCGUCCCAAACGAAAUGUCCUAUUUCUUUUCGGUACGGAAAUUAAGAAAUGUGUAUAAAAUAGAUUAAGUGGGUUGGUGAAAAUUAUUUAAAUAUUAAGUAUAGAGAGAGAGUGUAGUGCCAAAAAAGGAAACAUGACAUUUCGUUUGAGAUAGCCCAAAAAGGAAAACAGUACAUUUCGUUUGGAACGGAGGGAGUAUAGUGCAUACUUAUAAUAAACAACGUAGUUUUAAGUGUGGUGCCCACUUCGGGGGAGCUUGUUGGAUUUAUAAUAAACGACGUAGUUUUCAUAUAUACAAAAAAUCCUCUUCCAUUGAGAUGGUUUCUUACAUUCUUGGCUUCAGCUGCGCAUGGCUUAUCUAUGCAUGCAUUAUUUUAGUUAUAAGCAAUUUAGUAAAUAAAAUAACAAAAUGGAUGGAUUAACAUUGCCACAAAACAUGAUGACACUAUUAGUAUUUUACUUCAAAGGGGAAGAAAAAAAAACUUUAUACGAAUGAAAGAAUGCCAUGUUAAACAAUCUCUCUUAGCCAAAUUGGAAAGCUAUGAGACCAAACAAAUGGACUACAAAUUAAAAAAGAGGUUAUAAAGUGACACGGGACUUAUACGCCACGUGCGGAGUUCAGCUGCCCGACUGCCGGAGUUCAGCUGCCCGACUGCCGGCCUGGUAUGAAAAUGAUUGGGUUAGGGUAGGGUGUCCCAUGCAACAAAUCCUCAUUCCACCUUCCCUUUGUCAGUUUCAUUUACCACACUAAGCCAUGUAAACAAUACCAACACAAUCACAAAAUCAGCAAAUCUAUUCGAACUCGCUUGGCCUAUGGUGAAAGCAGGAUGGAAAAGAAAGCAAAAUAAGCAAAGGUAAAUAUACCUGCUUGGACUGGAAGGAGAAAAAGAUGGUGAUGUUGGGCUGCAAAACCACAGAAAAUAAUAUGUCAAGGUAGCAUUUGAAAGAGAGUUUCACCAGUUCAGAAUAUAUCCUAGUCUUGUCGGGGAAAUAAAACAAAAAGAGUAAUACUCUAGGGAACAAUUUAUCCAGCUUCCUCUGUGGACAAUCAAGUAUAGAAACAGAGUAAUACAUUUAACCAAGGUUAUAUUUGUUAGCAAACUUGAAGAGCAAAAAUUAAAAUAAGGCUUGCCAAAAGUUACCUGAGACUCGGAGAAUAUGGACUGUACGGACUUGAAGGUGUGAUUUUUGGACUUGUAGGUGAAUAUGCUUGUGAAGGGCUAUACCUUGCUGAAGGAUUGUAACUUGGUGAGGUCAGACUGUAAGUCGGUGAGGUGGGACUGUAUCCAGGUGAAGUUGGGCUGUAGGCAGGAGAGGUAGGGCUGUAUGAAGGUGAGGUUGGGCUGUACGAUGGAGAGGUUGGGCUGUAAGAUGGUGAGGUUGGGCUGUAAGAGGGAGACGUGGGGCUGUAAGCCGGAGAAGUUGGGUUAUAAGCAGGUGAGGUUGGGCUGUAAGAGGGAGACGUGGGGCUGUAAGCCGGAGAAGUUGGGCUAUACGCAGGUGAGGUUGGGCUGUAUGCUGGAGAAGUUGGGCUGUAGCUCGGAGAUGUAGGGCUGUAGCUCGGAGAUGUGGGGCUAUAGCUAGGAGAUGUUGGGCUGUAGGAAGGAGACGUUGGUGAAUAAGAUGGGCUUGUGGGAGAAUAGGCAGGGCUUGUAGGACUAUAUCCAGGAGAACUAGGACUAUAUGUUGGGGACGUAGGGCUGUAACCAGGGGAAGUAGGACUGUACCCAGGUGAGGUGGGGCUGUAUCCAGGAGAUGACGGGCUGUACCCUGGAGACGAUGUAGGAGAAAACGCCAUCCCGCCCACAUACGGAGAAAACUGAGCAUCUGAAACAGGAGAUAACCGAAGAUUUGGGCUCAGCAUAUAAUUUGGUGACAUCAUGCCAUCAUGAUAUGGGGUCCCUGAGAUGGGUGAACGGCCAGGAGUCAUGCCAAACUCCAGUCCACCUUCCAUAUAACUGGGCAGAGGGAUCUCCAUAGCUUGUUUUAGCAUCUCUUCAUUCAUAUACAAAGCACAAUCACCUGUGCCAAUAGGUGCAAGCUGUCCUAACAUGAUAUUCUCAGUGACACCCCUGAGGUAAUCUGUUUCUGCAUACACAGCAGCAUCAAGAAGAAUGUCCACUGUUUCUUCAAAGGAGCAUCUCAUCAUGGGGCCAGUAUCAUUGCGAUUGAUACCAUGACGGGUGAUGGCCAUCAAGUGACCACGAUAUGUCAUGGUAUCACACAAUAUAGCCAAAUGUCUAUAGUUCACGUAAGACCCAUCAAAGAUAUACAACACGCAACUCAUCAGCAAGGCUUUGCGAACUGCCUCAAUGCCAAGAACUUCAAUAACUUCAAUCAAUGAUUGCUUGUUGUCCUACUUGCAUCUACAUCUUCAUGGCAAAUUACAGCUAAAAGAUUAACACCUUCUGUGUCAGCAUCCACUCAUUCUCAGCCUUGAAGCCUUCAUUUUCAUCAAACUUAUUUACCUUGCCAUUCUUUAUGAACACCUUAUUGAUAUCUGGUAUGCCUCGAAGAGCCAUUUCUGUAAGCAUGUUACCCUCAAUCUUUUUGAGGAAGACAUCAUCCUCAGCGAUUCAUCAUCACUCCUUAGGGUCUUCUCAUUCUAAUACGAAUACGAAGGAUAAGCUUUUCAGCAUUAUCAUCAUUAAAUGCAAGAUACAUCAAAUCAAUUAAUCUUAUGGAAAAUAUCAGCCAUGUUGAGUUUCUUAUCCACCAUCAUUUCUCUGUUUAACUCUAUGCGAAGCAACCACGGAGAGAUCUGUCGGGGUCAACAUCUCAUCUGGCAUCUCAAAGUAGGACGUCACAAUUCAAUAUCUUCCUCAAUAAUAGUGCUCUUAAGAUCUGGAUCGUACCAUACCUCUGUUGCUUGUGUUACACUCCGCAAGGUUGUAUACUCCAGAGCGCACUGGACAUUUUUGGCAUUCUCCUUAGUUUUUCUUACACCAGGCUUCAAGUAUACCGAGAGAGAGGGUGUUUUAAUAUUCUUAGCAACAUUAAUAAUCUCCCUCAACCUUGGAACACCUAAAGUAACAUUCUUGGCACUCACACCAGCAUAGUGAAAUGUAUUGAG
Molecule: long non-coding RNA, 12086 nt
Filed under: Salvia miltiorrhiza (redroot sage)
Lineage: Eukaryota; Viridiplantae; Streptophyta; Magnoliopsida; Lamiales; Lamiaceae
Description: long non-coding RNA (SMIL_LNC006844)
Source: RNAcentral